AGAUUGGUUCUCAAUUAGAGGCAGCUGUUUAUCGUUGUCUCUGAUUGGGAACCAUAUUUAGGCAGCCAUCUUCUUUGGGCAUUUCGUGGGUUAUUGUCUAUGUGUAGUUGCCUGUACUCGGUGUCAUAGCGUCACGGUCUGUUGUUUUUGUUUAAUGCAAUAGAAUCCUACUCUAAUGCUCUAUAUUGCACAGUUAGUUUUGCAUACUAAUAAGUCUUACAUAGUUUGUUUUGGUAUGUAACAUUGAAAGUGGCACAUUUUUCUCUAACUGAAACAAUUCCUAAAGUAGAGCGAAAUCUUAAUUGUUUUAACUAAAGGGAAAAACUGCUCUUCUGCAUUGGCUGAUUUUCCUUCUUCUCAGCAGUCAGGGGAGCUACACGCCCACUGGUUAACGAGGAAAUACUUUAUUUAUAUUGUACGGGAUGCUUGUCAAAUAGAUACAUUGCCCUUCGUCUGUUCAAAAAGGACCAAGUUGUUGCGAUCACAAUACCAACCAGAGGGCAAAAAUAUCUUGAAAGACUGGUUGCGAGCAGCUUUUAGUGAGUGGUAAUGAGGUGACCAAUAGUGGUUGCAAUUGAGAUCAGCUAUGCAGGUGAAUUUAUGCUUAUUAAUGGUUUAACGAGACAGCAGCUGGCGAUAAUAAGGAUGCUGCCUUUUGAAGCAGAAUUUCUAGGGUGGGGUAGGGAUGUCCCAAGGCUACCAGACAGCACGGACCUAAUUUAUCGUUAGGACCUCAACAUUGGCGUGUCACUAUCCCACAACACCUUGUGGCGCAGCGAACAAUUUCUGAAUUAAUGGCAGACAGAAGUCCUCGCUUGGGAUACCAUUUUCCAGAAGAAUAAGGAAUAACUUCAUGAAAUGUUGACGGACAUCCCACCCUGACACCCUGCAGAUGUAAAUAACUUGGUGUUAACCUCCCAGGCACCAGGAAAUCACCAUAUCCAAGGAUAUUAUUCAGAACACCACAAUGUUAGAUAGAAAUAGAUUUGAUUAUCAUGCAAAUUUGUUAGGACAUUGUAAUGUAUGAUGUGCAUUCUAAAAUGGAGAUGUGAUUUCUGUCCCAGGGAAUAGCAUUGUGUGCAACUUUUCAAUUCGGAUCACAAUUAGUUGAAUUAGGUGUUACUGAAGGGCUGGAACAAAAACUUAGGACUUAUGCACAGAUACAGGAAAACUUGUUAAGAUUAUUCUAAAUUGUAAGUGUUGAUGUCUCCACGUUUCUGGUUUUGAGGCUUGGGCAUCUAGUAUCUGCAGUUCAUCUGUCUAAUCCCCUGCAAGGAGAGAGAAAGGCUUCAAUACUAUUACAAUGCUCUAUUCAUUUGAUUGAAAGUAUUCAUGUUUUAUAUGCAUUCAUAUCAUUUUAUUAGAUAUAUUAUCCUUCAUCAAAUGCCAGUAUUUGUUUUGUAUCCAAAGCAUCUAGUUUAUAUUAGGAUGAAGUAGCCUAGGCCUCUAAUCUAGUUAGAUUGCAUCAUAUCACUUUUCAAUAAAUAUCAAACCA
Oncorhynchus mykiss (rainbow trout) is the source of this 1495-nucleotide long non-coding RNA. RefSeq lists it as uncharacterized. The record is from RefSeq and is a predicted model, not a curated record. NCBI's taxonomy places the organism in Eukaryota, Metazoa, Chordata, Actinopteri, Salmoniformes, Salmonidae.